GAUGAACGCUAGCGACAGGCUUAACACAUGCAAGUCGAGGGGCAGCACAGGUAGCAAUACCGGGUGGCGACCGGCGCACGGGUGAGUAACGCGUAUGCAACUUACCUAUCAGAGGGGGAUAACCCGGCGAAAGUCGGACUAAUACCGCAUGAAGCAGGGGUCCCGCUUGGGGGUAUUUGCUAAAGAUUCAUCGCUGAUAGAUAGGCAUGCGUUCCAUUCGGCAGUUGGCGGGGUAACGGCCCACCAAACCGACGAUGGAUAGGGGUUCUGAGAGUAAGGGCCCCCACAUGGGUACUGAGACACGGACCAAACUCCUACGGGAGGCAGCAGUGAGGAAUAUUGGUCAAUGGCAGAGAGGCUGAACCAGCCAAGUCGCGUGAGGGAUGAAGGUUCUAUGGAUCGUAAACCUCUUUUAUAAGGGAAUAAAGUGCGGGACGUGUCCCGUUUUGUAUGUACCUGAUGAAUAAGGAUCGGCUAACUCCGUG
RNAcentral lists this ribosomal RNA (485 nucleotides) under uncultured bacterium. Its description in RNAcentral is "partial 16S ribosomal RNA". It matches the Rfam family "Bacterial small subunit ribosomal RNA", at positions 28 to 507 of the family's 1533-position model. The record is from RNAcentral.